Molecule: long non-coding RNA, 384 nt
Filed under: Androctonus crassicauda
Lineage: Eukaryota; Metazoa; Arthropoda; Arachnida; Scorpiones; Buthidae
Source: RNAcentral
ACUUCAAAAUUCGAGUUGUGUAAGCAUCAUAGAAUAAAUAAGGAAAAUAGAAUUAAAUAAAUAAAUAAAUAAAUACACCAAUGGAAUGGUUUGGGUUGCCGUGGUUGCAAGGGAUGUGUGGUUGUUGAUGUGUGUAGUGGUCUGUGUGAGCUGUAAUUGGUGCCGGGUGCGUGCGCACGGAUACUCCAAGAAGUUCCUCAACAAAAUACACACCAGGAUCAAAGCAGCCCAGAGUGAUAGGAGGAUUGAUGCUAGAAAGAUAAGCAGAGACAAUGAUGAUUUUAUCACUGUCCCAUACCAAACUAGUAAGCUGAACGUAAUAAAGGAAAUAGCGAGAAAAACGGGUAAAACGAUCACCACCAGAAGACAGCCGACACUGUUCAA